RNAcentral lists this long non-coding RNA (385 nucleotides) under Fukomys damarensis (Damara mole-rat). RNAcentral describes it as "lncRNA (ENSFDAG00000022827.1)". Lineage: Eukaryota; Metazoa; Chordata; Mammalia; Rodentia; Bathyergidae. The record is from RNAcentral.
ACAUGCACAAGUACACAGUUGUUUAUUCUGUUUUCUUUUUUAUUGGGCAUCUCUUGGAACAGGAGAUCUGGAUCCUAGUCUGUGACUUUAAUGAUGUUGCUUUAAACAUGUCACUGACCUUUGUGGGUCUUGGUCGUAAAAGGAACGACCCAGCUUUCCAGAUGACCACAAUUCUAGUUGUCAUGAAUUCUCCACCUGUAUGUAUACAUUCAAAGACUUCCUUUCAUAAGAACAAAGUUACAUAAAUGUUACGUGAUAAUGUAAAUUAACACAUAAAUGUGUAAAGCUGACAACAGUUCAACAUAUGAAUGUUAGACAGCAGUAUAUUUAGUUGAAUCAGAUCUGGGUAAGUUUCUUUGAAAUUUUUAUAAAUGAACUACAUUAA